This 496-nucleotide ribosomal RNA is filed under the name uncultured bacterium. RNAcentral's name for it is "partial 16S ribosomal RNA". It matches the Rfam family "Bacterial small subunit ribosomal RNA", at positions 30 to 523 of the family's 1533-position model. The record is from RNAcentral.
AUUGAACGCUGGCGGCAUGCUUUACACAUGCAAGUCGAACGGUAGAGGGGGCAACCCCUUGAGAGUGGCGAACGGGUGAGUAAUGCAUCGGAACGUGCCCAGUCGUGGGGGAUAACGCAGCGAAAGCUGUGCUAAUACCGCAUACGAUCUCUGGAUGAAAGCGGGGGACCGAAAGGCCUCGCGCGAUUGGAGCGGCCGAUGUCAGAUUAGGUAGUUGGUGGGGUAAAGGCUCACCAAGCCAACGAUCUGUAGCUGGUCUGAGAGGACGACCAGCCACACUGUGACUGAGACACGGCCCAGACUCCUACGGGAGGCAGCAGUGGGGAAGUUUGGACAAUGGGCGCAAGCCUGAUCCAGCAAUGCCGCGUGCAGGAAGAAGGCCUUCGGGUUGUAAACUGCUUUUGUACGGAACGAAACGGUCUGGGUUAAUACCCUGGGCUAAUGACGGUACCGUAAGAAUAAGCACCGGCUAACUACGUGCCAGCCGCCGCGGUAA